This 21-nucleotide microRNA is filed under the name Corchorus capsularis. RNAcentral's name for it is "sRNA CCACVL1_07930". Lineage: Eukaryota; Viridiplantae; Streptophyta; Magnoliopsida; Malvales; Malvaceae. The record is from RNAcentral.
AACUUUGAAAUUUGAUCUGCU